GACAGAGGCCUCAAGCGUUAGGCGGAAUCACUGGGCUUAAAGCGUGUGUAGGCGGAUCGUUAAGUGUCUUGUGAAAUCCCACGGCUCACCCGUGGAACUGCUGGGCAUACUGGCGAUCUUGGGCCAACUAGGGGCAACUGGAACAAGCGGUGGAGCGGUGAAAUGCGUAGAUAUCGCUUGGAACGCCAACGGUGAAAGCAGGUUGCUGGGGUUGUGCCGACGCUGAGACACGAAAGCCAGGGGAGCAAACGGG
RNAcentral lists this ribosomal RNA (253 nucleotides) under uncultured bacterium. Its description in RNAcentral is "partial 16S ribosomal RNA". It matches the Rfam family "Bacterial small subunit ribosomal RNA", at positions 524 to 776 of the family's 1533-position model. The record is from RNAcentral.